UGAGGAAUAUUUGUCAAUGGACGCAAGUCUGAACCAGCCAAGUAGCGUGCAGGAUGACGGCCCUAUGGGUUGUAAACUGCUUUUAUAUGGGGAUAAAGUGGGGAACGUGUUCCCUUUUGCAGGUACCAUAUGAAUAAGGACCGGCUAAUUCCGUGCCAGCAGCCGCGGUAAUACGGAAGGUCCAGGCGUUAUCCGGAUUUAUUGGGUUUAAAGGGAGCGUAGGCUGUUUGUUAAGCGUGUUGUGAAAUGUAAGAGCUCAACUUUUAGAUUGCAGCGCGAACUGGCAGACUUGAGUGCGCACAACGUAGGCGGAAUUCAUGGUGUAGCGGUGAAAUGCUUAGAUAUCAUGACGAGCGCCGAUGGCGAAGGCAGCUUACGGGAGCGCAACGGACGCUAGAGCUCGAAGGUGCGUGUAUCGAACAGG
RNAcentral lists this ribosomal RNA (424 nucleotides) under Verrucomicrobiota bacterium. RNAcentral describes it as "Verrucomicrobia bacterium partial 16S ribosomal RNA". It matches the Rfam family "Bacterial small subunit ribosomal RNA", at positions 355 to 776 of the family's 1533-position model. The record is from RNAcentral. Lineage: Bacteria; Pseudomonadati; Verrucomicrobiota.